UCGAACGAGUUCUGAUUAUUGAAAGGUGCUUGCAUCUUGAUUUAAUUUUGAACGAGUGGCGGACGGGUGAGUAACACGUGGGUAACCUGCCCUUAAGUGGGGGAUAACAUUUGGAAACAGAUGCUAAUACCGCAUAAAUCCAAGAACCGCAUGGUUCUUGGCUGAAAGAUGGCGUAAGCUAUCGCUUUUGGAUGGACCCGCGGCGUAUUAGCUAGUUGGUGAGGUAACGGCUCACCAAGGCAAUGAUACGUAGCCGAACUGAGAGGUUGAUCGGCCACAUUGGGACUGAGACACGGCCCAAACUCCUACGGGAGGCAGCAGUAGGGAAUCUUCCACAAUGGACGCAAGUCUGAUGGAGCAACGCCGCGUGAGUGAAGAAGGCUUUCGGGUCGUAAAACUCUGUUGUUGGAGAAGAAUGGUCGGCAGAGUAACUGUUGUCGGCGUGACGGUAUCCAACCAGAAAGCCACGGCUAACUACGUGCCAGCAGCCGCGGUAAUACGUAGGUGGCAAGCGUUAUCCGGAUUUAUUGGGCGUAAAGCGAGCGCAGGCGGUUUUUUAAGUCUGAUGUGAAAGCCC
RNAcentral lists this ribosomal RNA (577 nucleotides) under Lacticaseibacillus rhamnosus. Its description in RNAcentral is "bacterial SSU rRNA". It matches the Rfam family "Bacterial small subunit ribosomal RNA", at positions 62 to 603 of the family's 1533-position model. The record is from RNAcentral. Lineage: Bacteria; Bacillati; Bacillota; Bacilli; Lactobacillales; Lactobacillaceae.